Entelurus aequoreus (snake pipefish) is the source of this 833-nucleotide long non-coding RNA. RefSeq lists it as uncharacterized. The transcript is spliced from 4 exons. The record is from RefSeq and is a predicted model, not a curated record. NCBI's taxonomy places the organism in Eukaryota, Metazoa, Chordata, Actinopteri, Syngnathiformes, Syngnathidae.
UUUUAAACUGCUGUAGAUCGGUCCAAGUGGUUUGACGCCCAAAUGACGUUAAUACAUUUCAUUUUAAAAUUGUAUACCUCGACGACAUGUGUUCAUGGUUUUAAAGCAGUAUUUGCCGCGAGGGAGGAAUAAAAGACGAUGUUUUCAUACUUAGCCGACCGCCAUUACUGGCUGAACGAGGAAGGAGAGGAAGUGGAGUCUGGCUUACGUUGCGAGCAAAGUGGGCAGAGCCGCUGAAGGAUAUCAGAGAGGCGGAGAAGCGGGGAGGACGACACACUCAACACAGCGCGCAAGGCGACCAGCACGGAGAGGAGACCUCGUCCAGCGAUGCUGUCGAAUAAACCACUAAAAUGGCCCAAAAACACGACGCCGACCCGGGUAGACGACGGGGGAUAGUCUCAGCUGCAGAUGUGGGUAUUCCCUCUGCUGAUUACACAAUGCAGUACAUACAAAAACAGCUCAUCUGACUUGAGAAAAAUGGGUUGACAUCGUGGUAUGUCGACAUUACGGAUGGAUUCGUAGAAAUUUCUCUCCAGGGUAGAACUACCCGAUUCAACUGGAUUUCGCUGACAAUGGAGACAGCGUUGUUUUAACGAGAAGAUAGCGUUGAAGAUGGCAAAUUUUGAAAAACUGAAAGCUUUUUUUUUCUUCUACGGAAUACGUAUGGACUUUUUUUUUUUAAAUUUUUUUAAGACACCAUGGACAUAGAAACAGUUCCGAGCUGUGUCGUGGACGAUUUUUUUCAGUUUUAUGAGAAGCAGAAAAUCGGCAAUUGUACACUGGAAUUAAUACUGUUUUCAAAUACUGUUUUCAAAUAAAGUGUAUGUUUUGUA